Pseudophryne corroboree (corroboree frog) is the source of this 879-nucleotide long non-coding RNA. RefSeq lists it as uncharacterized. Lineage: Eukaryota; Metazoa; Chordata; Amphibia; Anura; Myobatrachidae. The transcript is spliced from 2 exons. The record is from RefSeq and is a predicted model, not a curated record.
AGAUGGCCGCUCCCCAACUGCCAACUGUCUCUGAAGACGGCUGUAACUACCACAGCACAAGCCGUCUCUCUCUCUCUCUGGGAUCAAUACGCCUGUUUCUUACUGGUCAGUGUCACUGUGUCGGACGCAGCACUCAGGUCACAGUUAACCCUAUCCAUGCUGUAACUUUAAUAGUGUCCAGCCAGGAAUGCAUUCAGCAGGGGAAGGGGCACAAAAGUCACACUAUAGUUCAUGGCAGCACUGAUGGGGUGCCACAAAUGACCACAGUAGUAGUACUCUUUACACAUAAUGCCCACAGUAAUAGUGCUCCCUACACAUAUUGUGUAUAGUAUUAGCAUCCCUUUUACAGAUAAUGCCAAGAGUAGUAGUGUCCAUUAUACACAUAAUGCCAACAGUAGUAGUGCUCCUAAUACACAUAAUGCCAAGAGUAGUAGUGCCCAUUAUACACAUAAUGCCAACAGUAGUUGUGCCCCUAAUACACAUAAUGCCAAGAGUAGUAGUGCCCAUUAUACACAUAAUGCCAACAGUAGUUGUGCCCCUAAUACACAUAAUGCCAAGAGAAGUAGUGCCCAUUAGUGUGGUUCUGAAGACUGAAGAGCCUGCUUCUGCUUCCUGUCUGUCAUACAAGUGCAGCGGGGUGGAGAGAGGAGGCAGAUACCUUACUCUGGAGUAAGGCGUCACAGUGCUCUGCAGCGCCAACCAGUGGUGAAAAGAGGAAAUACAGAAAACAGAGACAAAGGUUGACAAACUAAAGGCAAGCAAGUAAACAAAAGGCAGAGCAGCCCACCGUAAGAGACAUCUUCCAGUCUCACUAUUAUUCCAAAGCCUCGUUUACGUGCAGAGUUAUUCCAUUUUUAGAAAAUAAAAUUAGAUUUCAGA